CCUACGGGAGGCAGCAGUGAGGAAUAUUGGUCAAUGGACGAGAGUCUGAACCAGCCAAGUAGCGUGAAGGAUGACUGCUCUAUGGGUUGUAAACUUCUUUUAUAUGGGAAUAAAAUGUUCCACGUGUGGGAUUUUGUAUGUACCAUAUGAAUAAGGAUCGGCUAACUCCGUGCCAGCAGCCGCGGUAAUACGGAGGGUCCGAGCGUUAUCCGGAUUUAUUGGGUUUAAAGGGAGCGUAGGUGGAUUGUUAAGUCAGGUGUGAAAGUUUGCGGCUCAACCGUAAAAAUGCAGUUGAAACUGGCAGUCUUGAGUACAGGAGAGGUGGGCGGAAUUCGUGGUGUAGCGGUGAAAUGCUUAGAUAUCACGAAGAACUCCGAUUGCGAAGGCAGUUCACUGGACUGCAACUGACACUGAGGCUCGAAAGUGUGGGUAUCAAACAGGAUUAGAUACCCUGGUAGUC
RNAcentral lists this ribosomal RNA (460 nucleotides) under uncultured bacterium. RNAcentral's name for it is "partial 16S ribosomal RNA". It matches the Rfam family "Bacterial small subunit ribosomal RNA", at positions 338 to 795 of the family's 1533-position model. The record is from RNAcentral.